GGAAUUUAUUCGAGAUUUGAUUUUCUUGAGUCAAUCGUUGUCAGUAGUAGGAAACUCUUGGGAAUGUCUAAUGGAAUAUGUUUGCAUUUUAUGCCAGAAAAACUCUAAAUUCCACGAAUCUCCAUCAUUUGAAGAGAGUGGUUUAUUCAAGCUAUGAACCUGUCAAAUCACAGCCGGCAAGAAGCAGUUUUGGUUUACUGAAGGCGUCGAUAAUCGUUGUUCCUUGUAUUUAUUUUGGAGGGUAUCUGUCUAUGAAUUUGGCAAGUUUUCUAGAGGAAUGGAAUAUAUUUGUGCCUGAUGAAGACGACGAUGAUGAUUAAUUACUCUUCUACGCCGUGGUACUAAAAUUUGUCUAUUCAAGAAAACAUUCAAAUAAUCCCAGGCUAAUGGUAUAACUCAUCUUCAAAAGUUAGGAAAAAGAUUAAAUUUAUAUUUUUGUUAUAUAUUUUAAAAACAUGAACACUUUAUAUUUUUGAAUAACUUAUUUUGAAGGAAAAGAUGGAAAAUUUUAAUUUUAGGAUUGAAAAUGUGAAAUUAUGAGAUAGAGAUAUAGGACUUAUUAUCACCUUUCAUGAAUGAUUUGUAAAUAGUUAAUGAAACAUUUGAUUUUUUCAUUUGAAUUUGAGAGAACAAGGAUGUAUUAUGUCUUCCUAUUUUAAUAACAAUUUAUUUAAAAACUG
Actinia tenebrosa (Australian red waratah sea anemone) is the source of this 680-nucleotide long non-coding RNA. RefSeq lists it as uncharacterized. The record is from RefSeq and is a predicted model, not a curated record. Lineage: Eukaryota; Metazoa; Cnidaria; Anthozoa; Actiniaria; Actiniidae.